Molecule: ribosomal RNA, 253 nt
Filed under: uncultured bacterium
Lineage: Bacteria
Description: partial 16S ribosomal RNA
Rfam family: Bacterial small subunit ribosomal RNA
Source: RNAcentral
UACGAAGGGGGCUAGCGUUGUUCGGAAUUACUGGGCGUAAAGCGCGUGUAGGCGGGUCUUUAAGUCAGGGGUGAAAUGCCAGGGCUCAACCUUGGAACUGCCUUUGAUACUGGAGACCUUGAGUCCGGGAGAGGUGAGUGGAAUUGCGAGUGUAGCGGUGGAAUGCGUAGAGAUCCGGAAGAACACCGGUGGCGAAGGCGGCCUGCUGGGCUAUGGCUGACACUGAGGCGCGACAGCGUGGGGAGCAAACAGG